Molecule: non-coding RNA, 122 nt
Filed under: Rhodococcus sp. SMB37
Lineage: Bacteria; Bacillati; Actinomycetota; Actinomycetes; Mycobacteriales; Nocardiaceae
Source: RNAcentral
GAAGGAGUUGUGGCCCUUCGGAGUCGCCAGUCGGGUGGGAGGCUUCAAACCACCUCAUGCUGCGUUGGCUGAAGACCGUCGUGGUGAGCGAUGAGGAAAAGGCGCUGGUAGAAGCGUCAGGC